Molecule: unclassified non-coding RNA, 250 nt
Filed under: Glomeromycetes sp.
Lineage: Eukaryota; Fungi; Glomeromycota; Glomeromycetes
Description: partial contains 5.8S ribosomal RNA and internal transcribed spacer 2
Rfam family: 5.8S ribosomal RNA (bases 1-71)
Source: RNAcentral
GUGAAUCAUCGAAUUUUUGAACGCAAAUUGCGCUUCCUGGUAUUCCGGGAAGUAUGCCUGUUUGAGGGUCAGUAUUAACAAAAAAAUCGGUUUGGUUGCAAUUUGUGACGUUUCCGGAGGUUGGGCUAUGUUAAGUUUUUUGGUUAGGGGGCUUAAAUUUGACAUUUUUUGCGCCUUUUUAGACGUAAAUAUUUUUUUUUUUAUUCGUUUAUUGUUAAUGUCAAAAUCUUAUUAGAUGGGUUCACAUCGU